RNAcentral lists this ribosomal RNA (253 nucleotides) under uncultured bacterium. Its description in RNAcentral is "partial 16S ribosomal RNA". It matches the Rfam family "Bacterial small subunit ribosomal RNA", at positions 524 to 776 of the family's 1533-position model. The record is from RNAcentral.
GACGUAGGGCGCGAGCGUUGUCCGGAUUUAUUGGGCGUAAAGAGCUCGUAGGCGGCUUGUCGCGUCGUCCGUGAAAACUUGGGGCUCAACCCCAAGCUUGCGGUCGAUACGGGCAGGCUAGAGUUCGGUAGGGGAGACUGGAAUUCCUGGUGUAGCGGUGAAAUGCGCAGAUAUCAGGAGGAACACCGGUGGCGAAGGCGGCAUCCUGGACCGGUAUUGACGCUGAGGCGCGAAAGCCAGGGGAGCAAACGGG